AAGCCUGCGGCCGCUUCUCUUGUACAGAUCUGCAGCUUCUUCCCUUUCCCGGGCCCCGGGCUAGCCGAGCCGACCGCGGAGCGUCCCUUUCGGCCAAUGAGCCUUAACAAAAGCUCCAGGCUCGCGCAGCUCUGGAGCCCCACGUGGAGCCGCCCAGCCACCUCUGAGUCAAGUCCUCUCGUGAACCGGGGUGCUUCGGAUUCCCGAGCCACUAGCGCAGGGGAUCCCACAAAUCUUUCUCCCCGCUGCGUGCUCCCCACCCGCAGCCACGUGCAGAAAACCAAAUGCCCCCUGGGUAUCUGUGCCCGAAUGCGCGCCGACACACUGGGACCGAGCCCCACGCGGAAAAACACACGCG
RNAcentral lists this long non-coding RNA (358 nucleotides) under Rattus norvegicus (Norway rat). Its description in RNAcentral is "long non-coding RNA NONRATT007572". Lineage: Eukaryota; Metazoa; Chordata; Mammalia; Rodentia; Muridae. The record is from RNAcentral.